AGUGAACGCUGGCGGUAGGCCUAACACAUGCAAGUCGAACGGCCGCACAGUAAGCGCUUGCUUUUACGGGUGGCGAGGGGCGGACGGGUGAGGCAUACAUCGGAAUCUACUUUUUCUGGGGGGAUAACGUAGGGAAACUUACGCUAAUACCGCAUAUGUCCUACGGGUGAAAUCAAGAGUUCAUCGGACCUUGCCCGUUUCAAUGAGACGAGGUCGGAUUACCUAGUUGGCUGGGUAAAGGCCCGCCAAAGCGACGAUCCGAAGCUGGUCUGAGGGGAGUGUCAGGCAAACUGGGAAUGAGACACGGUUCAGGCUCCUACGGGAGGCAGCAGUGGGGAAUAUUUGAGCAAUGGGGGAAGCCUGAUCCAGCCAUACCGCGUGGGUGAAUAAGGCCUUCGGGUUGGAAAACCCCUGUGUUUGGAAAGAAAAGUAGCAGGUUAAAACCCCGCUGUUCUGACGGUACCCAAAUAAGAAGCACCGGCUAACUUCGGG
This 492-nucleotide ribosomal RNA is filed under the name uncultured bacterium. Its description in RNAcentral is "partial 16S ribosomal RNA". It matches the Rfam family "Bacterial small subunit ribosomal RNA", at positions 29 to 507 of the family's 1533-position model. The record is from RNAcentral.